UUAAAUCAAAUUUGUAUGGAGUUGGAACGUUUGCCUACGUUUUCCGCUAGGGGCGCUGUUCCAACUGCAUACAAAUUUGAGUUA
This 84-nucleotide microRNA precursor is filed under the name Bombyx mori (domestic silkworm). RNAcentral's name for it is "mir-2807 microRNA precursor family". It matches the Rfam family "mir-2807 microRNA precursor family". The record is from Rfam by way of RNAcentral. Lineage: Eukaryota; Metazoa; Arthropoda; Insecta; Lepidoptera; Bombycidae.